AUUGAACGCUGGCGGCAGGCCUAACACAUGCAAGUCGAACGAGUGGCGGACGGGUGAGGAAUGUCUGGGAAACUGCCUGAUGGAGGGGGAUAACUACUGGAAACGGUAUCUAAUACCGCAUACCAUCAGAUGUGCCCAGAUGGGAUUAGCUAGUUGGUGGGGUAACGGAUCACUAAGGCGACGAUCCCUAGCUGUUCUGAGAGGAGUACCAGCCACACUGGAACGGAGACACGGUCCAGACUCCGACGGGAGGCAGCAGGGGGGAAUAUUGCACAAUGGGAGAAAGCCUGAUGCAGCCAUGCCGCGUGUAUGAAGAAGGCCGUCGGGUUGUAAAGUACUUUCAGCGGGGAGGCGUUACCCGCAGAAGAAGCACCGGCUAACUCCGUGCCAGCAGCCGCGGUAAUUC
RNAcentral lists this ribosomal RNA (406 nucleotides) under uncultured bacterium. RNAcentral's name for it is "partial 16S ribosomal RNA". It matches the Rfam family "Bacterial small subunit ribosomal RNA", at positions 30 to 526 of the family's 1533-position model. The record is from RNAcentral.